UGAACGCUGGUGGCGUGCCUAAUACAUGCAAGUCGAGCGAACAGAUGAGGAGCUUGCUCCUCUGACGUUAGCGGCGGACGGGUGAGUAACACGUGGAUAACCUACCUAUAAGACUGGGAUAACUUCGGGAAACCGGAGCUAAUACCGGAUAAUAUAUUGAACCGCAUGGUUCAAUAGUGAAAGACGGUUUUGCUGUCACUUAUAGAUGGAUCCGCGCCGCAUUAGCUAGUUGGUAAGGUAACGGCUUACCAAGGCAACGAUGCGUAGCCGACCUGAGAGGGUGAUCGGCCACACUGGAACUGAGACACGGUCCAGACUCCUACGGGAGGCAGCAGUAGGGAAUCUUCCGCAAUGGGCGAAAGCCUGACGGAGCAACGCCGCGUGAGUGAUGAAGGUCUUCGGAUCGUAAAACUCUGUUAUUAGGGAAGAACAAAUGUGUAAGUAACUAUGCACGUCUUGACGGUACCUAAUCAGAAAGCCACGGCUAACUACGUG
RNAcentral lists this ribosomal RNA (495 nucleotides) under uncultured bacterium. RNAcentral describes it as "partial 16S ribosomal RNA". It matches the Rfam family "Bacterial small subunit ribosomal RNA", at positions 30 to 507 of the family's 1533-position model. The record is from RNAcentral.